RNAcentral lists this ribosomal RNA (207 nucleotides) under uncultured bacterium. Its description in RNAcentral is "partial 16S ribosomal RNA". It matches the Rfam family "Bacterial small subunit ribosomal RNA", at positions 568 to 774 of the family's 1533-position model. The record is from RNAcentral.
CGCGUAGGCGGCUGAUUUAGUCGAGGGUGAAAGCCCGUGGCUCAACCACAGAAUUGCCUUCGAUACUGGUUGGCUUGAGACCGGAAGAGGACAGCGGAACUGCGAGUGUAGAGGUGAAAUUCGUAGAUAUUCGCAAGAACACCAGUGGCGAAGGCGGUUGUCUGGUCCGGUUCUGACGCUGAGGCGCGAAAGCGUGGGGAGCAAACA